Long non-coding RNA from Diabrotica virgifera virgifera (western corn rootworm), 558 nucleotides. RefSeq lists it as uncharacterized. The transcript has 3 exons. NCBI's taxonomy places the organism in Eukaryota, Metazoa, Arthropoda, Insecta, Coleoptera, Chrysomelidae. The record is from RefSeq and is a predicted model, not a curated record.
GGCAUCUUCAUCUUGGCCACCUUGCUUUGCUGUCGGUGGAUCGUUGUUUGUAAUAUUUGUGCUUUUUAAGAAUAUUUUUUUAAUUCGGAUACUUUUAUAAUAGCUUUAAUAGUAUUAUUAACAUAGUGAAUAAAAUGGUGUCCUGUUUUUAACGCAGUUGGAGUAGCAGAAACAAAUGUAGAUAAAAAAAUCUGCAGGAAUAACGUUUCAAUUAUGACAGAAGCUCCAAACAAAUGACUGAAUGAAAAGCCCUAUUAAAAGCUUUCCAGAAGAUCCUGCGAAGAAGACAUGAAGUAUAGAUCAGAUUUGUUAAUAGAGGAGUAUGCUCAAAACACUUUUUAGAAAAAGAUAUUGACAGAACUUCACUUUCAUCUGUUCGUUUAAGAGACUGUGCUGUUCCAAUAGCUUAUGUCACACAGAAUCAGCUGAGAGAAGUGGUCUACAAAAAACCAGAAAGGAAACGGAAUAUGUGGCUACGAAAAGCAAAAGAAAGGUUUACAAAGCAAAUGUGACACAUUUUUUUAUAAUAUUUAGGAAUGUCAGUAAAUUACAUUAAAA